UAGGGAAUCUUCGGCAAUGGGGGAAACCCUGACCGAGCAACGCCGCGUGAGUGAAGAAGGUUUUCGGAUCGUAAAGCUCUGUUGUUAAGGAAGAACGAGUGUGAGAAUGGAAAGUUCAUACUGUGACGGUACUUAACCAGAAAGGGACGGCUAACUACGUGCCAGCAGCCGCGGUAAUACGUAGGUCCCGAGCGUUGUCCGGAUUUAUUGGGCGUAAAGCGAGCGCAGGCGGUUAGAAAAGUCUGAAGUGAAAGGCAGUGGCUCAACCAUUGUAGGCUUUGGAAACUGUUUAACUUGAGUGCAGAAGGGGAGAGUGGAAUUCCAUGUGUAGCGGUGAAAUGCGUAGAUAUAUGGAGGAACACCGGUGGCGAAAGCGGCUCUCUGGUCUGUAACUGACGCUGAGGCUCGAAAGCGUGGGGAGCGAACAGG
RNAcentral lists this ribosomal RNA (429 nucleotides) under Bacteroidota bacterium. Its description in RNAcentral is "Bacteroidetes bacterium partial 16S ribosomal RNA". It matches the Rfam family "Bacterial small subunit ribosomal RNA", at positions 355 to 776 of the family's 1533-position model. The record is from RNAcentral. Lineage: Bacteria; Pseudomonadati; Bacteroidota.